Molecule: ribosomal RNA, 366 nt
Filed under: uncultured bacterium
Lineage: Bacteria
Description: bacterial SSU rRNA
Rfam family: Bacterial small subunit ribosomal RNA
Source: RNAcentral
GAUGAACGCUAGCGGCAGGCCUAAUACAUGCAAGCCGAACGGCAAGCUGAGUAGCAAUACUUGACCUAGAGUGGCGUAAGGGUGCGUAACACGUAUGCAAUCUGCCCUCAACAGGAGGAUAGCUCCCCGAAAGGGGAAUUAACCCUCCAUGGGAUCUUAGAGUGGCAUCACUUAGAGAUUAAACCGCGAAGGGGUUGAGGAUGAGCAUGCGCAUGAUUAGUUAGUUGGCGGGGUAACGGCCCACCAAGACGAUGAUCAUUAGGGGAACUGAGAGGUUGAUCCCCCACACUGGCACUGAGAUACGGGCCAGACUCCUACGGGAGGCAGCAGUAAGGGAAUAUUGGACAAUGGGUGAGAGCCUGAUCC